GUUGGCGUUGUUCAGGUGCGAAGGCUGCGGCUACUUCUCCUGUCAAGAGGGUGACGCGGGUUCGAAUCCCGCCGCCGGCC
Molecule: transfer RNA, 80 nt
Filed under: Streptomyces sp.
Lineage: Bacteria; Bacillati; Actinomycetota; Actinomycetes; Kitasatosporales; Streptomycetaceae
Description: tRNA-Asp
Source: RNAcentral